Molecule: ribosomal RNA, 366 nt
Filed under: Gomphonema parvulum
Lineage: Eukaryota; Bacillariophyta; Bacillariophyceae; Cymbellales; Gomphonemataceae
Description: partial small subunit ribosomal RNA
Rfam family: Eukaryotic small subunit ribosomal RNA
Source: RNAcentral
AUUCCAGCUCCAAUAGCGUAUAUUAAAGUUGUUGCAGUUAAAAAGCUCGUAGUUGGAUUUGUGGCAGUGCUCGAGUGCCUUUUUUGGACGCUUUGAGCACAGCCAUCCUUGGGAGGAAUUCGUGUGGCAUUAGGUUGUUGCAUGGGGGAUACUCAACUUUUACUGUGAAAAAAUCAGCGCGUUCAAAGCAAGCUUAUGCUCUUGAAUGUAUUAGCAUGGAAUAAUAAGAUAGGACUUUAGUACUAUUUUGUUGGUUUGCGUAUUAAGGUAAUGAUUAAUAGGGAUAGUUGGGGGUAUUCGUAUUCCAUUGUCAGAGGUGAAAUUCUUGGAUUUUUGGAAGACGAACUACUGCGAAAGCAUUUACCA